GAUCAUGGCUCAGAUUGAACGCUGGCGGCAUGCCUUACACAUGCAAGUCGAACGGCAGCACGGGAGCUUGCUCCUGGUGGCGAGUGGCGAACGGGUGAGUAAUACAUCGGAACGUACCCUGAAGUGGGGGAUAACGUAGCGAUAGUUACGCUAAUACCGCAUAUUCUGUGAGCAGGAAAGAGGGGGAUCGCAAGACCUCUUGCUUUAGGAGCGGCCGAUGUCGGAUUAGCUAGUUGGUGAGGUAAAGGCUCACCAAGGCGACGAUCCGUAGCGGGUCUGAGAGGAUGAUCCGCCACACUGGGACUGAGACACGGCCCAGACUCCUACGGGAGGCAGCAGUGGGGAAUUUUGGACAAUGGGCGCAAGCCUGAUCCAGCCAUGCCGCGUGAGUGAAGAAGGCCUUCGGGUUGUAAAGCUCUUUCGGUGGGGAAGAAAUUGCUUCGGUUAAUACCUGGAGUAGAUGACGGUACCCGCAUAAGAAGCACCGGCUAACUACGUG
RNAcentral lists this ribosomal RNA (499 nucleotides) under uncultured bacterium. Its description in RNAcentral is "bacterial SSU rRNA". It matches the Rfam family "Bacterial small subunit ribosomal RNA", at positions 15 to 507 of the family's 1533-position model. The record is from RNAcentral.